UACGUAGGUGGCAAGCGUUGUCCGGAUUUAUUGGGUUUAAAGGGUGCGUAGGCGGCUUUGUAAGUCAGUGGUGAAAUAUGGCAGCUCAACUGUCAGGGUGCCAUUGAUACUGCGGAGCUUGAGUACAGAUGAGGUAGGCGGAAUUGACGGUGUAGCGGUGAAAUGCUUAGAUAUCGUCAAGAACACCGAUAGCGAAGGCAGCUUACUGGGCUGUAACUGACGCUGAGACACGAAAGUGCGGUGAUCAAACAGG
RNAcentral lists this ribosomal RNA (253 nucleotides) under uncultured bacterium. RNAcentral's name for it is "partial 16S ribosomal RNA". It matches the Rfam family "Bacterial small subunit ribosomal RNA", at positions 524 to 776 of the family's 1533-position model. The record is from RNAcentral.